Molecule: ribosomal RNA, 253 nt
Filed under: uncultured bacterium
Lineage: Bacteria
Description: partial 16S ribosomal RNA
Rfam family: Bacterial small subunit ribosomal RNA
Source: RNAcentral
GACGAACCGUCCAAACGUUAUUCGGAAUCACUGGGCUUACAGAGUUCGUAGGCGGUCUGGAAAGUUGGGUGUGAAAUCCCUCGGCUCAACCGAGGAACUGCGCUCAAAACUACCCGACUCGAGGGAGAUAGAGGAAAGCGGAACUGAUGGUGGAGCGGUGAAAUGCGUUGAUAUCAUCAGGAACACCGGUGGCGAAGGCGGCGACCUGGGUCGACACUGACGCUGAGGCGCGAAAGCGUGGGGAGCAAACAGG